This 1950-nucleotide ribosomal RNA is filed under the name human metagenome. RNAcentral's name for it is "bacterial LSU rRNA". It matches the Rfam family "Bacterial large subunit ribosomal RNA", at positions 1 to 1980 of the family's 2925-position model. The record is from RNAcentral.
UUAAGUGACUAAGCGUACAAGGUGGAUGCCUUGGCAAUCAGAGGCGAAGAAGGACGUGCUAAUCUGCGAAAAGCUUGGAUGAGUCGAUAAGAGGCGUUUAAUCCAAGAUGUCCGAAUGGGGAAACCCAGUAGAUGAAGAAUCUACUAUCACUUACUGAAUCCAUAGGUAAGUGAGGCAAACCGGGAGAACUGAAACAUCUAAGUACCCCGAGGAAAAGAAAUCAACCGAGAUUUCGUUAGUAGCGGCGAGCGAACGCGAAGGAGCCUGUUAGUGAUAAUGACAGAGACAGAGGAACAAGCUGGGAAGCUUGGCGAUACAGGGUGAUAGCCCCGUACUCGAAGUCCAGGUCAUGGUACUAAGCUAACGACAAGUAGGGCGGGACACGUGAUAUCCUGUUUGAAGAUGGGGGGACCAUCCUCCAAGGCUAAAUACUCCUGAUUGACCGAUAGUGAACCAGUACUGUGAAGGAAAGGCGAAAAGAACCCCGGUGAGGGGAGUGAAAUAGAACCUGAAACCUUGUACGUACAAGCAGUGGGAGCCCUUUAAGGGUGACUGCGUACCUUUUGUAUAAUGGGUCAGCGACUUAUAUUUUGUAGCGAGGUUAACCGAAUAGGGGAGCCGAAGGGAAACCGAGUCUUAACUGGGCGUCUAGUUGCAAGGUAUAGACCCGAAACCCGGUGAUCUAGCCAUGGGCAGGUUGAAGGUUGGGUAACACUAACUGGAGGACCGAACCGACUAAUGUUGAAAAAUUAGCGGAUGACUUGUGGCUGGGGGUGAAAGGCCAAUCAAACCGGGAGAUAGCUGGUUCUCCCCGAAAUCUAUUUAGGUAGAGCCUUGAGCGGACACCUUCGGGGGUAGAGCACUGUUUCGGCUAGGGGUCCAUCCCGGAUUACCAACCCGAUGCAAACUACGAAUACCGAAGAGUGAUACUCAGGAGACACACGGCGGGUGCUAACGUCCGUCGUGGAGAGGGAAACAACCCAGACCGCCAGCUAAGGUCCCAAAGUCUAUAUUAAGUGGGAAACGAAGUGGGAAGGCUUAGACAGCUAGGAUGUUGGCUUAGAAGCAGCCAUCAUUUAAAGAAAGCGUAAUAGCUCACUAGUCGAGUCGGCCUGCGCGGAAGAUGUAACGGGGCUCAAAUAUAGCACCGAAGCUGCGGCAUCAGUAGCAAUACUGUUGGGUAGGGGAGCGUUCUGUAAGCGGAUGAAGGUUAAUCGAGAGGUUAGCUGGACGUAUCAGAAGUGCGAAUGCUGACAUAAGUAACGAUAAAACGGGUGAAAAACCCGUUCGCCGGAAGACCAAGGGUUCCUGUCCAACGUUAAUCGGGGCAGGGUGAGUCGGCCCCUAAGGCGAGGCUGAAAAGCGUAGUCGAUGGGAAACGGGUUAAUAUUCCCGUACUUGGAUAAACUGCGAUGUGGGGACGGAGCAGGUUAGGUUAUCGCACUGUUGGAUAUGUGCGUUUAAGUUUGUAGGUGUGAAGUUUAGGCAAAUCCGGACUUCUUUAACACUGAGAGAUGAUGACGAGGCUCUACGGAGCUGAAGUAACCGAUACCACACUUCCAGGAAAAGCCACUAAGCUUCAGGUUUAUCUAAACCGUACUGAAAACCGACACAGGUGGUCAGGUAGAGAAUACUCAGGCGCUUGAGAGAACUCGGGUGAAGGAACUAGGCAAAAUAGCACCGUAACUUCGGGAGAAGGUGCGCCGGCGUAGAUUGUAAGGGCUUGCCCCUGAAGGUUGAACCGGUCGAAGAUACCAGCUGGCUGCAACUGUUUAUUAAAAACACAGCACUCUGCAAACACGAAAGUGGACGUAUAGGGUGUGAUGCCUGCCCGGUGCUGGAAGGUUAAUUGAUGGUGUAAUCGAAAGAGAAGCUCCUGAUCGAAGCCCCAGUAAACGGCGGCCGUAACUAUAACGGUCCUAAGGUAGCGAAAUUCCUUGUCGGGUAAG